GAUCCUGGCUCAGAUUGAACGCUGGCGGCAUGCCUUACACAUGCAAGUCGAACGGCAGCACGGACUUCGGUCUGGUGGCGAGUGGCGAACGGGUGAGUAAUGUAUCGGAACGUACCUUUCAGUGGGGGAUAACGUAGCGAAAGUUACGCUAAUACCGCAUAUUCUGUGAGCAGGAAAGCAGGGGAUCGCAAGACCUUGCGCUGAUUGAGCGGCCGAUAUCAGAUUAGCUAGUUGGUGGGGUAAAGGCCUACCAAGGCUACGAUCUGUAGCGGGUCUGAGAGGAUGAUCCGCCACACUGGAACUGAGACACGGUCCAGACUCCUACGGGAGGCAGCAGUGGGGAAUUUUGGACAAUGGGGGCAACCCUGAUCCAGCCAUGCCGCGUGAGUGAAGAAGGCCUGG
Molecule: ribosomal RNA, 402 nt
Filed under: uncultured bacterium
Lineage: Bacteria
Description: bacterial SSU rRNA
Rfam family: Bacterial small subunit ribosomal RNA
Source: RNAcentral